CGGUGACAGGUGGUGGCAUGGUUGUCGUCAGCUCGUGUCGUGAGAUGUUGGUUAAGUCCCGCAACGAGCGCAACCCCUAUUGUUAGUUGCCAUCAUUCAGUUGGGCACUCUAGCGAGACUGCCGGUAAUAAACCGGAGGAAGGUGGGGAUGACGUCAAAUCAUCAUGCCCCUUAUGACCUGGGCUACACACGUGCUACAAUGGUUGGUACAACGAGUUGCGAGUCGGUGACGGCGAGCUAAUCUCUUAAAGCCAAUCUCAGUUCGGAUUGUAGGCUGCAACUCGCCUACAUGAAGUCGGAAUCGCUAGUAAUCGCGGAUCAGCACGCCGCGGUGAAUACGUUCCCGGGCCUU
This 352-nucleotide ribosomal RNA is filed under the name uncultured Streptococcus sp. RNAcentral's name for it is "bacterial SSU rRNA". It matches the Rfam family "Bacterial small subunit ribosomal RNA", at positions 1029 to 1382 of the family's 1533-position model. Lineage: Bacteria; Bacillati; Bacillota; Bacilli; Lactobacillales; Streptococcaceae. The record is from RNAcentral.